Molecule: transfer RNA, 120 nt
Filed under: Spirochaetia bacterium
Lineage: Bacteria; Pseudomonadati; Spirochaetota; Spirochaetia
Description: tRNA-OTHER
Rfam family: tRNA
About the family: Transfer RNA (tRNA) molecules are approximately 80 nucleotides in length.
Source: RNAcentral
GAGGCAGUCGUCUAACGGCAGGACAUCCGUUUCCUCAGUCAUAAAAUUAUCGUUUCCGGUCAAUUAUGACUUACUUCAACCUCCCAACGGAAAACGCGGGUUCGACUCCCGCCUGCCUCA